RNAcentral lists this non-coding RNA (191 nucleotides) under Clostridia bacterium. RNAcentral describes it as "6S RNA". It matches the Rfam family "6S / SsrS RNA". Rfam says of the family: E. coli 6S RNA was the first non coding RNA to be sequenced, but its function was unknown until recently. The record is from RNAcentral. Lineage: Bacteria; Bacillati; Bacillota; Clostridia.
UUCCGCCUGCCCUGUUCGUGUAUUUCGUCUAUUAUAACCCUACAAGCUACUAAACGGGAGUCUUACUCUUUGUGUGGGUAUGCAGGCCUCCCGAGUUUUCUCGGACGUUGGAAGCACAAAGCACGAAGGAGGACCCCCACCUGCCGUACCGCCGGUUAUCAAUCGACGCUGUGCGGCAGGGCGGGGUCAAA